GAUGAAGAACGCAGCGAAAUGCGAUAAGUAAUGUGAAUUGCAGAAUUCAGUGAAUCAUCGAAUCUUUGAACGCACAUUGCGCCCGCCAGUAUUCUGGCGGGCAUGCCUGUUCGAGCGUCAUUUCAACCAUCAAGCCCCCGGGCUUGUGUUGGGGACCUGCGGCUGCCGCAGGCCCUGAAAAGCAGUGGCGGGCUCGCUGUCACACCGAGCGUAGUAGAUUUUAUCUCGCUCUGGGCGUGCUGCGGGUUCCGGCCGUUAAACCACCCUUUUAACCCAAGGUUGACCUCGGAUCAGGUAGAAAGACCCGCUGAACUUAAGCAUAUCAAUAAGCGGAGGA
RNAcentral lists this unclassified non-coding RNA (337 nucleotides) under soil metagenome. RNAcentral's name for it is "partial contains 5.8S ribosomal RNA, internal transcribed spacer 2, and large subunit ribosomal RNA". The stretch from base 1 to 120 matches the Rfam family "5.8S ribosomal RNA", at positions 35 to 154 of the family's 154-position model. The record is from RNAcentral.